RNAcentral lists this ribosomal RNA (787 nucleotides) under uncultured Streptococcus sp. RNAcentral describes it as "bacterial SSU rRNA". It matches the Rfam family "Bacterial small subunit ribosomal RNA", at positions 73 to 846 of the family's 1533-position model. The record is from RNAcentral. Lineage: Bacteria; Bacillati; Bacillota; Bacilli; Lactobacillales; Streptococcaceae.
GAGGAGCUUGCUUCUCUGGAUGAGUUGCGAACGGGUGAGUAACGCGUAGGUAACCUGCCUGGUAGCGGGGGAUAACUAUUGGAAACGAUAGCUAAUACCGCAUAAGAGUAGAUGUUGCAUGACAUUUACUUAAAAGGUGCAAUUGCAUCACUACCAGAUGGACCUGCGUUGUAUUAGCUAGUUGGUGAGGUAACGGCUCACCAAGGCGACGAUACAUAGCCGACCUGAGAGGGUGAUCGGCCACACUGGGACUGAGACACGGCCCAGACUCCUACGGGAGGCAGCAGUAGGGAAUCUUCGGCAAUGGACGGAAGUCUGACCGAGCAACGCCGCGUGAGUGAAGAAGGUUUUCGGAUCGUAAAGCUCUGUUGUAAGAGAAGAACGAGUGUGAGAGUGGAAAGUUCACACUGUGACGGUAUCUUACCAGAAAGGGACGGCUAACUACGUGCCAGCAGCCGCGGUAAUACGUAGGUCCCGAGCGUUGUCCGGAUUUAUUGGGCGUAAAGCGAGCGCAGGCGGUUAGAUAAGUCUGAAGUUAAAGGCUGUGGCUUAACCAUAGUACGCUUUGGAAACUGUUUAACUUGAGUGCAAGAGGGGAGAGUGGAAUUCCAUGUGUAGCGGUGAAAUGCGUAGAUAUAUGGAGGAACACCGGUGGCGAAAGCGGCUCUCUGGCUUGUAACUGACGCUGAGGCUCGAAAGAGUGGGGAGCAAACAGGAUUAGAUACCCUGGUAGUCCACGCCGUAAACGAUGAGUGCUAGGUGUUAGACCCUUUCCGGGGUUUAGUGC